GUGGCGCAGUGGGUAGCAGAUUUGCCUUUUGAGCAGAAGGUCAUGAGUUCGACUCCC
Molecule: small RNA, 57 nt
Filed under: Caenorhabditis elegans
Lineage: Eukaryota; Metazoa; Nematoda; Chromadorea; Rhabditida; Rhabditidae
Description: Unclassified non-coding RNA F59A1.17
Source: RNAcentral